UACGGAGGGUGCAAGCGUUACCCGGAAUCACUGGGCGUAAAGGGCGUGUAGGCGGGAAGUUAAGUCUGGAUUUAAAGACCGAAGCUCAACUUCGGGAAUGGUUCGGAUACUGACUUUCUAGACGACUGGAGGGGCGGGUGGAAUUCUCGGUGGAGCGGUGGAAUGCGUAGAUACCGAGAGGAACACCAGUGGCGAAGGCGGCCCGCUGGACAGUUAGUGACGCUGAGGCGCGAAAGUGUGGGGAGCGAACCGG
RNAcentral lists this ribosomal RNA (253 nucleotides) under uncultured bacterium. RNAcentral's name for it is "partial 16S ribosomal RNA". It matches the Rfam family "Bacterial small subunit ribosomal RNA", at positions 524 to 776 of the family's 1533-position model. The record is from RNAcentral.